AUGGCCGGAAGGAAGGGCGGCGACAGGAAGAAGGCGGUGACCAGGUCCGUCAAGGCCGGGCUCCAGUUCCCCGUCGGCCGCAUCGGGCGCUACCUCAAGAAGGGCCGCUACGCGCAGCGCGUCGGCUCCGGCGCCCCCGUCUACCUCGCCGCCGUCCUCGAGUACCUCGCCGCCGAGGUCUUGGAGCUCGCCGGCAACGCGGCCAAGGACAACAAGAAGACCCGCAUCAUCCCGCGCCACCUGCUGCUCGCCGUCCGCAACGACCAGGAACUCGGCAGGCUGCUCGCCGGCGUGACCAUCGCCCACGGCGGCGUGAUCCCCAACAUCAACUCCGUGCUUCUCCCCAAGAAGUCCCCCGCCACCGCAGAGAAGGAGGCCAAGUCGCCCAAGAAGAAGACCACCACCAAGUCCCCCAAGAAGAAGGUCGCUGCCAAGGAGUAG
This 441-nucleotide ribosomal RNA is filed under the name Triticum aestivum (bread wheat). RNAcentral describes it as "partial small subunit ribosomal RNA". Lineage: Eukaryota; Viridiplantae; Streptophyta; Magnoliopsida; Poales; Poaceae. The record is from RNAcentral.